UACAAGAGCAUUAAGAUUCCAAGCUCAUAUUCUUCUAAGAUUUUGGGGCUAUUGUGUUCUUGUUGUUGUAUACAUUAGUAACAGAUUGCCUUCAUCUGUUGUUGGAACUUCUCCCUAUGAGAAACUGUAAUAAACAACCUUCUCUUAGCCACAUGAAGUCCUUGGAUGUCUAUGCUAUGCUAAGAUAGUACAACAAACUGAUAAGUUGCUUUCUAGAACUAGACCUGCUGUCUUCUUAGGCUACUCUAAAGUUAAAAAGGCUAUAUUUUUUAUGAUCUUACCACCAAGUCCUUUAUUAAUAAAGAAGUAGUGUUCAAAGAAUCUGAAUUUCCUUUUAAGAAUCAUCAUGACAAAAAUACAUUACUCUUUCUUGAAUUAGAUGCUAGUUGUCAACAUUUACUUACUACUAACUCAGAUACUUAUGAGUUUAUGCAGAACAAUAAUGAUACUAUAACAUAUGAUCAAGAGGAACAACUCUAGCCAGAUCACAAUCAUGAUUUUCAUGAUAUGUCUCAAGCUCAAGCACUUCAACCUUAUCAGCAGAUCACUGUUUCUACUAGAAAGUCUGUAAGGAAUAGACAACCACCAAUAUGGAUAAAAGACUUCACUUCGUUGAGUCUACAUGAUCCGCCAUAUGUUAUUUCAAACUAUGUGUCUUACGACAAACUUUCUUCUAAGUAUAAAUCAUACUUAUCAACUUUUUCUUCUGUUACUAAACCUAGGAACUACACUGGAGCUAAAGAAUAUCCCAAAUGGAUUGAAGCUAUGAAGGCAGAAAUACAAGCACCUUAAGAUAAUCACAUUUGGGACAUUGUCACUUUACCACAUGAAAAAAAGGUAAUAGGCUGCAGAUGGGUUUAUAGAGUGACGUACAAAUCUUCAGGAGAAAUAGAAAGGUUCAAGGCUAGAAUGGUUGCAAAAUAAUAUAACCAACAAGAAGGUAUUGAUUAUCAAAAAACUUUUUCUCUUGUGUUUAAGAUGAUAACAGUCAGGAUAGUACUUGUAAUUGUUGUUUCAAAGCACUGGCACAUCCAUCAAAUGAAUGUGUACAAUGCAUUUCUACAGGGUGAUCUCUUUGAUGAGAUUUAUAUGCAGCUUCCUGAAGGUUUUGUGAGCCAGGAAAAAGUAACAUAACUAGACUAGUUUGCAGACUCACAAAAUCCUUAUAUAGCCUAAAGCAAGCACCAAGAAUGGAAUGCUAAACUAAAAAAGGUUUUAUUGAAUCUGAGGUUCAAACAAAGUCAAUAUGAUUAUGCUUUAUUUACCAAAACAAUAGAGGUUGGAACUAUGAUAAUCUUGAUAUAUGUAGAUGGUAUGCUUGUGACUGGAAAUAGCUUAAAGAUUAUUGAGGAAGCAAAUUAGUCUCUUCAACAGGUGUUUAAGAUGAAGGAUUUAGGAGAUUUAAAGUACUUUCUAGGAAUAAGUUUGCUAGAUCAAAUUAAGGUAUAUCAAUGCAUCAAAGGAAAUACACUUUUGAGCUAAUCUUUGAACUUGGACUUGGAGCUGAAAAACCAGCCAUUACUCCUAUAGAUACAAAUGUGAAACUCACUACUAGAGAAUAUGAUGAGUAUCUAGACAAAAUCCUAGUGAAGAUCCAGUGUUAUCAGACAAAGGUGCAUAUCAGAGACUUAUAGGUAAGCUUUUUUAUCUAACUGUCACUAGAUCAAAUAUAACUUAUGGUGUACAAACCUUAAGCCAAUAUCUUCAAGAAUUAAAAAAAUCUCACAUGGAUGCUGCAAUAAGAAUAGUGAGAUGUGUGAAAAAACAGCCUGGACAAGGAAUUCUUAUCUCAAGUAAUGGUAUCCAAAACAUAAAUACAUACUGUGAUGCAGAUAGGCUGCUUGUGCUCACACUAGAAAGUCAGUAACUGGCUUUCUUAUCAAGUUGGGUGAUUCUUUAGUCUCUUGGAAAUCUAAGAAGCAAACAACCAUCUCAAGAAGCUUUACAGAAGUAGAAUACAGAAUUAUGACAUCAACAGUUCCUGAACUAAUAUGGUUACUUGGUAUACUGGAAGAGUUGCAAAUCAAUGUAUCUUUACCAGUGAAUGUCUUUAGUGAUAGCAAAUCCGCCUUGCAAAUAGCAGCCAACCCAAUGUUUUAUGAAAGGCCAAAACACAUUAAAAUCGAUUGUCACUUCAAUAGGAAAAAAAUCAAGAAGGAAAAGUCAAGGCUCAAUACAUCUCGACAAAAAAUAAAUCGACAAAAAAUAAACCUGCAGUUGUUCUUACAAAAGGUUUGAACAAGGUGUAGCAUGAUUAUCUGAUUUCCAAGUUAGGCAUAGUCAACAUAUUCCAGAGUGCGUAACUUGAGGGGGAGUGUUAUGACAAUAACUCUAAUAACUAGUUGAGUAACUAACUUCAAUUAGUUAGUUACUAAUUAUUAAGUUACAAAAGUUAGUUAAGAAAGUUAGUUAAUGAGACUAGGUCUUGGUUCUAUAUAUACUCACUACUCUUGUACUCUUAAACACAUGUUUUGAUGAUGAAUAAUACUUAAUAAACUUCUCUCUUCUUCGCUCUCAGUCUCUCUGUGUUUCUCCGUUCUUAAUGAAAUCACUAUAACUAUUGUAGUGAUUUAGUUCACAUAUCUGUCUGUAAGUAAGGGUGCAUUCUCGCGCACCACCCAUAAUGUCUGAAUACCGCUGCUGUACACGCCUGUUAGAAUUUCAUCUAACUGUUCUUUUGAUACCGACAUGAAAGGUCCUUGGGAUAUGUAUAGAACCAUGACAAGUAAUUGGGACUAGGCUGGUUAGUUUUGCAUUUGGUAUCCAAGUAAGGCAUUGUUGGACCAACUGUGAAAAUGGGAACUUGAAAUUCAGCUUCUAAAGCCUCAAUUACUUAAGAUUCCAAUGCUUCAAUGGUGGUUAACAAGACAUAUCGUGCUUUACUGGCUAAUUGCGAUACAGCUUCGAGAAACAAGGGCAAAAAUUUCAUGUGUUUGCCGAAGACUACCCGAUGGAAGACACUUUACGCAAAUUGUCGUAAUCCUAGGAUUGUAAUUUACCACCUCUUCUCUGUGCUCUGUUCAUUAUGAAUUAAGAAACUCAACUUAUAUUACCAUUCAUGUUGCCAACUAUGUAAUUAGUUGGAUAAGUCAAGAUGAAUAAAUCCACUAACAACAAAAAUAAAGAGACUUUCAUGAAAUCUAAGGGAGUUAAAUCGUAUACUCCUACUACUUGUUGGAAACAAUAGCACAAGAAAAUAAUAUUUCCAACAUAUCUUUAUCUAUCUAUAUUUAUUUUAUAUCUAUAUCUAUAUCUAUAUCUAUAUCUAUAUCUAUCUAUAUCUAUAUUAUAUUAAAAGUGUGAAGGGCCUACAAAUUUUUUAAAAAUUUUAAGUAAGUCAAAGAUUUUCUAAGGAUUUAACUUUACAGAUAAGAAAAGAUUUUAAAUAUAGAAAAAAUAAAAAUGAUAAUCGUACUACAAAUAUAGUUCAAAUCGAUGUGUCUCUCUUAGCCUUUAGCAGCAAGAAAAAAAAGAUAUUUCAUGACAAAUGCAAAAGUGACGAUCCAUUAACCACUUGAAACUUCUGGUGGUAAUAUAUAUAUGUACCUACAAAAAAAUAUAUGUAUGUUUAUAUUAUUCUAUUAAAAUGUAAAAGAUCUUUGAGAGAUGAUUUGAACUUCUUGCCCUUCAUUAAAAAUCUUUGCAAUAAACAAAGUCAUCUAAUUUUAAAUAAUCAAAAGUCAUAUGUGCAAGACAUGUGCGGUUAAACUAGUAGCAAUAAAAGCAGAACAUUAAAAUGCCACUGAUCAAUACCUUUAUAUUAAAAUCCAGGGAAAAAUAAAAAAAUCCAAAGAAGCAAUGGAUAUAAAUAUAAUAAAGAUUUUACACUUUGUAAGCCUGAGUGAAAUACUCUCGCCUUACUACAAUAUGCUCAUACUAACUAUUUUUUCUUACAAACUAUUUUCUUAAGAUGUUUGUAAUAUCUCACUCUUUUCUCUCUAUUAGUUAUCUUGAAAUAGGAUAAUAGAACUGUAAUUUUCCUGAUGUGAGGAAUGGAUUAGAGAGAGAAGCUCUCCUCCCUCUCUUCAGUUCUUCCCUAAAUAAUCUCAGCAAUUUCCCUAAAUAAUUUUCCAAAAAUCCUAAAAAAUACCCAGUUAAUAUCUAGUCCUAUCUUCUAAAUCAACCUAUGGCUCUUAGUCCAUCCUAUCGAGAUAUAGCAGCAAAUAAGAUUUCUACCUCCAAUCAUGCCUUAGAUCAACCUAUGGACGGAGGUUGUCUAGAAUCUGAUCCAGAUAAUUUGGAGGAUGAUCUUGUCCAACUUUCAAUUGAUGAUUGGAAUCGUUUUUUUUCACCCUGGAAAUUCUCAGUGAUUUUAAAGGCCUUUGGGAGUAAGUUCACUCAGCAAUACUUAAAAACUAAAUUGGAAGCACUGUGGAAGCUCCCAGAACCAUUAUGUCUUAUUGAUCUGGGUUAUGAAUUCUUUAUGGCAAAAUUCCAUAAACCAGAAAGCCAAGCAUAUGUCCUUAAAGGCGGUCCUUGGUUCAUCCGACAGCUUCAUAUCAGUUAGCCUCAGUAGGAACCCAACUUCAUCCCCAGCCAGUACCAAAUUAACUCGACUGCAAUUUGGGUUCGCCUACCCAGCUGCCAAAUUCUACGAUCUCACCCUGAUAAAAAGGGUCGGCAAGAAGCUCGAAAAGCUUCUGAAGGUUGAUGCCUGCACCUCUUCGACAAUCAGAGGCAGAUACGCUCGAAUCUGUGUUCAAGUUGAUUUAGAAAAGCCGGUGAAAUCCACCAUCACAAUUGGGGAUCAUAAGCAAGUCUUACUCUAUGAGGGUGACAAGAUCCUCUACAAAUAAUGCAGCUUCUUAGGUCAUACUUCCCAAUCUUUCUCUUCGAAGGCCACCGCUGGAUGAUCAACGCUGGCAUCACCAUUUUCGCCAUGAGCUGUGAAGGAGAAGACUAGAGACGAAUGACAGACAGUCUCGUUUGCUCGUAAAAGAUAUCUGAAGUAGGGAAAUAAACCUUCAAGAGUGGUACCCCUCUCCAGUAAUGGUAAGAUAGUUGUAGCAGCUUCGGCAGAUUAGUUCCCCUCUCACUCCCCCAAGAUAUCUUGGCGGCCACCGCCGCAGGGACCUCUCUUCCCCAGGUUAAUAGGAUACAUCUGGAUCCACUUGGGUCAUUAAGUGCCCUGGUUCAUCCAGAGCCCAAGUGCCCACAACCCAAUCUGUUUCAAAUUUUACUUAUGAUUUAUAAAGUCCCAACCGAUUUAGGCCCAUUUCAGAGGGAUUUCUUUUUGGGCCCAUUCCUUAUAAGCCCUCAUCUUCUGGAUUGGGUUUUAAUCUUAGGCCAGCCGUCUCCUCGACCCAGUUCCCUUACCCGAGCCCAACCUUCAAUCUAACUUUAAUUCUUCUUAUCUUUCUGCUACAAUUCCUACUGAGGGGAAAAUGAAGCUCACACAUGGGCCCCACCUCAAUGAUCUCAUCAUUACCCUUCAGGUGCAUCCAAGUUUUUCCUCUUCCUACGCCGGCAAAUACCCUUUUUACUUCUCAGAGGGAUGAAAUGAAAAUCACUAUCCCUCCAAACAAUGCAUUAAGUGCUAGUACUAUGUCCGAAGCAAAACCUCUUCAUCUCCCUUUCUCUGCUUUUAGCUUAAAAUUCCAUUUGGAUGCCAUGCAAACCACUCUUACUUCAAACAAUAACUCCAUCACCUCCUUCAAACAUGAUCACCAUGUUAACAUCUCCACCUCCUCCAACUCACACUCCGACAUCUUAGCUGGAGGUGUGCCUGUCCAACCAAUCUGUUCUUUUCCACCUACAUUGGGAGGGGAAUCACAUGACCAUCUUUAUUCAGGACUCAGAAUACUUGGCCCAACUGGCAAUGGAGUGCCUAACCGGGGUUUCCAGAGUUACGGGCCCAAUGUCUAGAUGGUAACCUUUCUCCAAAUCUUCAGCUCCCCAACAACAGACAAUCUCACUCCAUCAAUCAUAUCGGAGAUGAUGUCUCUAACAAGUUCAAGCCUUCCUUUCUUUCCACCACCAAAUCCCCUUCUGUUGAACCAAGGUUCCACUUUUGUGAAUCUCUAUGGGGAAAACCCCCAAUCUCAGUUUCCUUCCCAGCUACCUCCAAUCUUGUCUUUUUUUCCAAUGAACCCAAAAACUAUGGAAAAGGAGAAGACCUUGAUUGCACUAAGAGAGAGCAACUGGGAAAUGGAAAACCUGUUAGCCCAAUUGAGAAUUCCCAAAACUGAUGUGUUCACUCUGGAAAAGCCUGUAAACUUGGAUUUCGAAGGACUACUUCACGAGAUGGUGAUUGUCCUACUGCCUCAGGAUCUGUCAAAGCUAGAAAUAGAGCUAGGCUUGCCAAACCCUAUAUUAGAAGAGUGCUACAAAGCCAAGAUCACCCCCCUUUCCAAGAAGAAGAAAUUCCUAGAAUAACUGAGCUCUUCGAACUCUCUGGGGAAGGGGAAGUCACCACUCAAGGAGAUCUCUCACCCCCCAAAGUAAUGAUGCAGAAUUGCAUAAUAUGGAAUGAUAGGAGGGCCAACAAUGCUGAAUUUAGGAGAUACUGCAAGUCCAUGGUUAGCAUCCACCAACCUACCAUUCUUGCUCUUCUUGAGACUAGGAUUACUGAUCAUAAGGCUUUAGCUGAUGAACUGGGAUUUCACUGUUUCAUUCAAUCUCCUACUUCUGGACUGUUUGGUGGCAUUUGUCAUCCUUUGAAAGAAUGAUUCUAUCUCUAUUUUUGAAAUAUCUAUCUUCUCUCAGCUAUCCAUGCUGUUGUUAAGGUCACUACUCCGAAGGCUAGAAGGUCCUACCGUUUGCCACAAUUACAGGGAGGAGAAUAGGGUUGCUGACAUCCUUGCAAAGGAAGGAGCCAAGCAAGCUUUUGCUGGAAAAUGCAGAAUUUUUGUUCCCCCCACCGCCCCUCCUUUUGUAGUCCAUGCAGUUUAGGACGAUAAAUGUGGGAAAAAUUUUUAUAGAAAAACUUGUAACUCCAACUUGAAUGGGCGUACACCCCCUAUCUUUGAACUGGAGCCAGACUAAGAUCCCCUCCCCCACCUUUUGUACCUUUUCACUACUUAAUAUAUCUUCUGGUUUACCAAAAAAUAAAGUUAUCUUGAAAUGAACGAAA
Long non-coding RNA from Capsicum annuum, 7072 nucleotides. RefSeq lists it as uncharacterized. Lineage: Eukaryota; Viridiplantae; Streptophyta; Magnoliopsida; Solanales; Solanaceae. The record is from RefSeq and is a predicted model, not a curated record. The transcript has 2 exons.